GACAAAUAGAAAAAUUCUUUUUAUAAUAAAAUUUAAAAAAUAAAUUUAAUUAUAAUUAUUAAAAAUUAAGGUGAAAUUUUUUUUUAAUUGAAUUUUGUAUAAAAUUAAAAUUCUUAUAAUAAACUAGGAUUAGAUACCCUAUUAUUUUAGAGCUUUACAUUGUAAGUAAAUAUUAAUUACGAAAGCAAAAAAUUAUGGCGGUAUUUUAAGCUUUUCAGAGGAAUUUGCUCUUUAAUGGAUAAAACACCUAAAUCUUACUUAAAUUUGUUAAGUCAAUUUGUAUACCACUAUUAAAUUAAUUAUUAAUUUUAAUUUAUAAAAUUUAUUUAAAUUUAAAAAAAAUUAAGUCAAGGUGCAGUAAAAAUUUAAGAAUGAAGUGAAUUACAAUUCUUUUAAGAGAUUAUUUAAAUUAAAAUUUUAAUUUAGGAUUUGAAAGUAAAAUUAAAAUAGAAUGUUAAUUUGAAUUAAGCUCUAAAAUAU
Molecule: ribosomal RNA, 480 nt
Filed under: Rhipicephalus australis
Lineage: Eukaryota; Metazoa; Arthropoda; Arachnida; Ixodida; Ixodidae
Description: partial small subunit ribosomal RNA
Source: RNAcentral